CCUACGGGAGGCAGCAGUGAGGAAUUUUGGUCAAUGGGCGCGAGCCUGAACCAGCCAAGUAGCGUGAAGGAUGACUGCCCUACGGGUUGUAAACUUCUUUUAUAAAGGAAUAAAGUGAGGCACGUGUGCCUUUUUGUAUGUACUUUAUGAAUAAGGAUCGGCUAACUCAGUGCCAGCAGCCGCGGGAAUAUGGAGGAUCCGAGCGUUGUCCGGAUUGAUUGGGUUUAAAGGGAACGUAGAUGGGUUGUUAAGUCAGUUGUGAAAGUUUGCGGCUCAACCGUAAAAUUGCAAGUGAUACUGGCAGUCUAGAGUACAGUUGAGGUAGGCAGAAUUCGUGGUGUAGCGGUGAAAUGCUUAGAUAUCACGAAGAACUCCGAUAGCGAAGGCAGCUUACUAAACUGCCACUGACAUUGAUGCUCGAAAGUGUGGGUAUCAAACAGGAUUAGAUACCCUUGUAGUC
RNAcentral lists this ribosomal RNA (460 nucleotides) under uncultured bacterium. Its description in RNAcentral is "partial 16S ribosomal RNA". It matches the Rfam family "Bacterial small subunit ribosomal RNA", at positions 338 to 795 of the family's 1533-position model. The record is from RNAcentral.